Molecule: long non-coding RNA, 1507 nt
Organism: Scatophagus argus
Lineage: Eukaryota; Metazoa; Chordata; Actinopteri; Scatophagidae
Exons: 5
Source: RefSeq, a predicted model, not a curated record
CUGACUUGCUAUUUUUAUAUUAGUCACGUACACUUCCUCCCACAAACCAGCUGCACCCCUACCUUGGCACAGAAACAUGAGUUUGAAGGCUCUGUACUUACUCCACUGGACAAGUUCAGUCAUGCAUUAAUCCGAAACGUCCAGCUCUUUCUGAGAAACAAAAAUGCAGAUUUUACAUAAAAGAUGCUUGCACUCUCUGUUAUGUACUUCACAUGAGCGGUGUCCAACCAUGGCUGGUAGUGUUCUUGGAUGAAGCUGUCCCAGCAACUUUUGCGAAGCCAACACUUUGCCUUCUUCCUUGGGAUGUUGUUUCACUGAAAACAGGCAGGAGACUCGUCUUUCUCGUUGGUAUUUUGGUGGAGUCUCCUCCUGCACAGCUGCCUGUUUAACACACCCACUGGAUUUAAUUAAGGUGCACUUACAGACACAGCAGGAAGUCAGGGUGAGGAUGGUUGGGAUGACGAUGUUAACCUGGCGAGGAGAGAAGGUUUUCUGGUUCUCUACGGUGGCCUCGGCGUCGUCAGAUUACAUAUUCUUUGUCAAGGUUUGCCGUUUAUGAGACAAGAUGACCGGAGAGAACAAAGGCUUUUGGAGUUCAGUAUUGCUAUUGCACUGAGGCUGAAGUGCACAAUCCCCUCAUCAAAUCCAUUAUAAAAAAACCUACAAGGUGGUCAUUCCUAUGUUCCAAGGGUGUGUUUCACUGUCUGAUGGAAACAGCAAAACUGGGCCUGAAGGCAUUUUACAAGGUGGAUGUCACCUUCAAGAAGUGUUUUGGGUUUUUUUUAGCACUGCUCCUUCAGGGCCCAAAACAUGAUUUUUUAAAUAUGUUAAUUAAUAAUUGUACAGCCUAAAUGUUGCAGUUUUUUAAAAUGUCUUUAGACUUUUCCUUUGCUGAAAUAACCAUAUGAUUUGUGUCCAGGGUCUUGUUCCUGCAACUAUCUGUCUCAGCCCGCACACAGUCUUCACUUCCAUGUUUGCUUUUCAAACAACUGAGGUAGCAUUUCAGUGCAGUGGUUGUCACCUGAGGAGAAGGAAGAGAUUCCUGAAGUUGCUGUAGUCAUCCUUUACAAUUUGAGUGGUUCUUUAUGUGGGACAACUUCAUCAUUGAUGCUAACUGAACCAUCCAUAACACUAUACAAUAUUUAAAUAAACAUUAUGCAAUAUUUUUUGUCAUUAGAAACACAAAUGACUUGAAUUAUCAGGCUGUGUGUCGAUACACUUCACGAUUGUGUUCCACUACCUGUAAAAGAAGAAACUGCAUUUAAAACUGAACUGAUAAAUCUACUAAUCCAAGUAGGCCUCUUUUGCUCUUUGGGCGUGAAACUUGAAACUUUUCCAAUUUUGUAAAAUGUUUUCAAAGUUGUGGUGGGAGGCAUCAUUCUCACUUUUUCCAUCAUGAAGUUAAGAGUCAAAAUUUAUCCCUGAGGGGAUGUUUCAUUGUUCAAUCCAUUUCUGAAAAGUGCACAAAGGAAAAAUUCUGUAAUUGAAUAAAUUAAUUUCAACUAUG